UGGGGUUUCUGUCCUCUCAAAAACCCCUUCACCACGAUGGCUUUGAGAAAUCACUGAUUGAAAGGCCUCUGCUGACUGGCAGCUCCCUGGUAUGACAGUCUUCAGUUGGAAAGCUUGUUUGCACAUUGACAACAGCAUUGCAGGGACGUUUCUGGUGUACUCCCUGGGCUGGAAGGAAACUGCAGUUUGUUUUUAGAGCUUUUGCCUUGGAAUCUUUCUGUCCUUCCCCAGCUCCCUUUCCUCCUUCUCACUGCCAUAUCUGCAGCAAAAUCAGCAGUUGGAAAGGCUGACAGU
This 294-nucleotide long non-coding RNA is filed under the name Cyanistes caeruleus (blue tit). RNAcentral's name for it is "lncRNA (ENSCCEG00000017037.1)". Lineage: Eukaryota; Metazoa; Chordata; Aves; Passeriformes; Paridae. The record is from RNAcentral.